CCCCUUUUCCCUCCUCUCUCUCACCCAAAUUCCUUCUCCCCAUCUCUUCCUCAUUCCCCCCCCCCUUCUUUUCCUCUCUCCGUCUCACUUUUUCCUUCUUUCUCCAACUUCUCCCUCUCUUCCAUCGUUCCCCAUUUCUCUUCCUCCUCCUCUCUCCCCUCUCUCUGUCUCUCUCUCUGUGUGUAUAAAUCAUUACUUCUUGCUUUUCUGGCUCCUCUAAUGACACACUUGGCAUCCAGCUCUGGAUCAAAAUAAGCCUGUUCGGUUGACAGUACUGUCAUUACAGUAGAGAAUGACUUUCUGGACGCAGCCGUGUUGGUCAUUUCCAUCAGACAGACAUCAUAAUUAAAGAAGAAAUUCUGGACAGGAAACAAGAUGGAAUUGUCAGUUGUGAAGCUACGUUAAUUAAUCAAGAAGGUUUAUAUUUGGGCUGGCGUAAUCCUUUAUGAAUCAGAAGGUCAGGAAGUGUAAAUAUGAAUGAGGGUCGCAGGGAGCCUGGUGCCUAUCCCAGGGGACGGGGUGUCAACCCAUUGCAGGACACACACACUAAUUUGAAAUGCCAAUCAGCCUACAAUGCAUGUCUUUGGACUGGGGGAGGAAACCAGAGUACCCAGACUUAACCCCCAAAGCACGGGGAGAACACAGGGAGAACUCCGCACACACAGGAUGGAGGCAGGAAUCAAACUCCAAACCCCAGAGGAUUGAGCUGAUUCCCCAUCAUUUUUGUGCCUUCAGGGUGUAUCAGCUGCCUGGGAAAGUGAAAAUACUAUGGUUAGGCUGUGAUCCGAGACCAACUUUUCUUAAUACCUCAACUGGCUUGAUCUUUACUCGAUCGAAUGGCAGCUUCC
This is a long non-coding RNA of Ictalurus punctatus (channel catfish), 848 nucleotides long. The record is from Ensembl. Lineage: Eukaryota; Metazoa; Chordata; Actinopteri; Siluriformes; Ictaluridae.